Molecule: non-coding RNA, 2758 nt
Organism: Paramuricea clavata
Lineage: Eukaryota; Metazoa; Cnidaria; Anthozoa; Malacalcyonacea; Plexauridae
Source: the annotation of a GenBank genome assembly
GAACAGUUAAUUUGGAGAGAAGAUGGAAAAUACGAGACAGCACUACCAUGGAAAGCUAGCCAUCCCAAAUUACCAACCAACAUCAACGUUGCGCGACCGAGAUUUCAGUCACUACUGAAGCGACUGGAUAAACAACCUGCCUUACUUGAGACAUACCAUCAAAUUAUCGAAGACCAAGUGGAACAGGGAAUUGUAGAGAUCGCACCAACAGAACCAAACGAGAAGCACGAACAUUACAUUCCACAUAAACCUGUCGUUCGGGAACAAGCUGAAUCAACAAAAGUUCGUAUCGUCUACGACGCCUCCGCAAAGGUUAACGAAGAUAGUCCGUCACUGAAUGACUGUCUAGAGAUUGGCCCUCCACUUCAACGAAAGUUGUUAGAUAUCCUUUUGCGAAACCGAGUUAAACCUGUGCUAUUAGCUGGAGAUAUAAAGCAAGCGUUUCUUCAGAUUGUUAUCAGAGAAACCGAACGUGACGCUUUAAGGUUCCUGUGGAUAAAUAACUUGCACACCAGAGAAGAGAAGAUCUACCGCAUGACAAGACUUAUGUUUGGUCUGGGUCCAAGUCCAUUCAUUCUUGGAGGGACAUUGAACGUUCACCUAGAGAAGUACUCACAAGAUCAUCCGAUUUGUGUCCGAGAGCUUAAAGAUGGUACAUACGUGGACGAUAUAAACAUUGCAAGCGACACAGUGGAAGAAACGAGAGAAAUUAAAGAAGAUGCUGUAAAAAUCCUGGGAGAAGGUGGGUUCAUGUUACAUAAAUGGCAUUCGAACGCCGCAGAAUUAGAAAGUGAUGUAAAGGAAGAUGGAGAAACUACCUAUGCGAAGGAAAGUCUAGGGACAACACCAUCGGAGACCAAACUUCUUGGAUUAGGCUGGAACAAAUCAGAAGACACUUUGUCAGUGACAUUUCCACCAAACGAAAAUGAAGUUACGAAAAGAAUCGUCCUGAGAACUAUGGCGAAAAUCUAUGAUCCGCUGGGAUUAGCAGCUCCUAUUCUACUCACGGCCAAAGUGAUCUUUCGAGAUGUCUGUGAUUCUAAGUUGGGAUGGGAUGCAGAUCUACCUGACGAACUAAAGCGGCGAUGGGAGAAAUGGUUGAAGAAUUUACCUGUCCAGUUGAAGAUGCCAAGAGCAAUACCUAGAGAAAUCGGUGUGAUUGUCGAAUUGAUUCUUCAUGGAUUCGCAGAUGCGAGCCUUCUUGGUUGUUGCGCUGUGAUCUACGCUAUUAUCAAGCAAGCUGGAGUGAUUAGUCAAGGGUUCCUGAUUUCGAAAACAAGAUUGGCCAAACGGGACUUGACUAUUCCGCGCCUGGAGUUAGUGAGUUGCCACAUGCUAAGUAACCUCCUACACAACACAUUCAAAGUUCUUAGUCAUAUACAAAUUGCCGGUGUAUUCGCAUGGUCUGAUUCUACUGUCUGUCUUCAAUGGAUCCAAGGUCAGGGAAGAUAUAAACAAUUCGUGGCCAAUCGGGUAGAGAAAAUAAACGAGAAGGAAGAAAUCGUUUGGAAAUACGUGCCUAGUAAAGAGAAUCCUGCGGAUAUCGGUAGUCGGGGAUCAAGUGACUUAGAAACUAACGAAAUGUGGAUGAGCGGUCCUUCAUGGCUGAACAAUUCCGACAGCUGGCCGGAACAGAUUGUUGCUAAACCUUCUGAUGUGUCGGAGUCCGAAAGUCGCACAAUCAAGACCGUGAUGAAAGCUGCUGUUCAAAGAAAAUCAGAUGUCUUUGACGACCUUUUAGCGAAAACAACCCUAUGGAAAACUGUGCGGAUUUUGGCAUGGAUCAAAAGAUUUGCUGUCAAUUGUCGAAGAAGUAAAAGAAUUAGCGGACCACUAACGACUGAAGAGACUGAGGAACAAUUGAAAUUUCUGAUUAAACGAGCUCAAGAGGACGGUGAAAAUUCUGUUCAGUUCAAAGAACAUUCUCAACGAUUGAAUCUCCAGAAAAAUGAAGAAGGCAUUUACGUGUGUAAGGGGAGAAUUCAAGGGUUUUAUCCAAUUUACUUGCCAUCAAAUCACCUCCUAUCUCUGAAGAUUGUCGAACGUGCACAUCUUUACACUCUGCACGGCGGGGUUGGGUUAACCAUGAGUAAAGUACGCGACGAUUAUUGGAUCCCUGCAUUGCGAAGUCUAGUGAAGAAAGUCAUUGGUAAAUGCUAUGGGUGUAAACGAUUUUACACAACGCCGAUGCCCGCUCCACCUCAGGGGAAUCUUCCAAAAGAACGAACUGAAGGUGAAAUCCCCUUCGAAGUAACUGGUGUCGAUUAUGCCGGACCAAUCUAUUACAAGGGAAAUGGGGGAGCUGAGCGUAAGUCAUAUAUACUCAUCUAUACCUGCAGUUUAACUAGAGGACUUCACUUGGAGAUUCUGCCAAACAUGAGCUGUGAAGAGUUCCUGAUGAGUUUUAAAAGAUUUAUCGCAGCAAGAGGUCGUCCGAAGAAGAUCAUAUCCGAUAAUGGAAAGACUUUCGUGGCUGCUGCCAAAUGGAUCAAGAAAGUCGUACGGAACGAAAAGUUACAAGGCUAUCUGAGUGAACAUGGUGUGAAAUGGCAGUUCAAUCUAAGCAAAGCUAGCUGGUGGGGUGGAAUGUUCGAACGAAUGGUCAGCAUAGUGAAACAAGCUCUUUACAAGGUCGUAGGAUCGGCCAAACUUACCUUCAAAGAAUUGCAAGACGUGAUGCUAGAUAUCCAGCUCGUAUUGAACAAUCGACCACUAUCGUACUGCGAGGAUGACAUUCAACUUCCCGUGUUGACGCCGA